CAGCGACUGCGACUUUGGGUAGACAACGAAAUUGUCCCUUAUCGGAAAUCAAAUUCGGAUCACGAUUACUCUCGAAAUAUUUUGGAUCUGGAACAAUCUGCCUUUCACUUUAUCACUUGCUUCACAUAACUGAGGGAACGGAGGGAUAAGCAAGUAGUUGGUUGAUUAUGAGGCAAUUCCAUUGUACGUUCUACACGUUGGCGAUAAGUUUUAUGGCACCCAAAUUUAACGCAGAGGUUCCUUUUGAUGCUGACCUAGGCCAUCGAAGUUGCGUUAUUGGUCUGUUACUGCGUAUAUGGAGGGCUUUAUAAGUGGAGCUGGAAAAACCGAAACGUACAUAUAGGCGAUUUCGGCCUACAAAUAAAAUGUUGGCUUAUCAAAAUGGCUCUAAAUGAAUU
Drosophila melanogaster (fruit fly) is the source of this 398-nucleotide non-coding RNA. Lineage: Eukaryota; Metazoa; Arthropoda; Insecta; Diptera; Drosophilidae. The record is from Ensembl.